GGAGCCGAGGAGUGCUCCUGCUCAGUUGAGGCAGAGGAAAGAAAAUCUUAGGGCGCACCGAGUCGUAGGAAAGGGAGAUAACCAUUUACAGGCUCCAGUAUGAACAAUGUGAAGCUAUUUCCCUUUGCUUGGACACAAGGAGAGUCCCCUGGCAACACACACACACACACACUUACACACACACACCAAACUUUUGUCCUCCUAUGACUCCCCUCCUUGUCCCCCAUCCUCCCCCUGAUGCACAACCUCUGGAGGUAAGGGCCUUAGCUUGUGUGAGUGUGUGUGUGUGAGUGUGUGAGCUUGUACCGUCUCUCUGUCUCUCCCCCAGCAGAAGCGGACACGCCGUCUCCCCAGCUUCCGUUUUCCUCUGCACGCCCGCUGCUGGAGUAUUCACGCUUCAGGCUGUUUUCUUUGAGAGAGAGACACAGAGAGACAGACAGAGAGUAUAAAAAUAUGCAAAUGCUAUUGUUGAAGCGCAGAACGAAGAGGGGGGGGGGCUUCUUUUACACCCCCUCACCUCCCUGCUGCUGCUGCUGCCACCGUUGCCACUUCCGCCUCCAUCCAUCCAUCCAUCCAUCCAUCCAUCCAUCCAUCCACUACAUGGAGAGAGGAGGAGGAGGGGGGGCUUCAGGUCUGAGAGGGGGAGACAACACGGGCAGGAUAUUGAAAAUAUGCUGAAAGGCCACUAUUGUCUGUUUCAGUUGAGGCCUAUUCUCUGGACCCAAUUGUAGAAUUCAGACACACACACACACACACACACACACACACACACACACACACACACGUGCAGCUAUUGAGAUAAUGAAAUCCAUCACACAACCCACAAGGCCAGACCUACAAAUGUCUCAAAGAGAGGGAGAAGACAGAGUGAAGCAGCAGCCUUCAUCAUGUACAGUACUGUAUACUGUACAUUAUAAUGUAUGCAUAUGACUAAACACACUGCUCUGACAGCACUGCAUGCUAACAGUCUUAGCAAUUAAUGUUACGUGAAUUGAAAUGAUGGAUAAGAGAAAAACAGAAGGGACAAACUGGCUGGUUAGACAUCGGCUCAGGUUUAAGGUGAGGUUAUGUGACAUCAUCACUCCACAUCCUAAUAACAUAGAUGUAAGAUCAUCAGAGUAUUAUCACCAAGGGACAGUUCACUUCCAAACUAAGAAUAAAUUUUUUUAAUCUUACCUGUAGUGCUAUGUAUCAGUCUAGAUUGUUUUGGUGUGAGUUGCUGAGUGUUGCAGAUAUUGGCUGUGGAGAUGUCUGCCCUCUCUCCAAUAUAUUGUACCAAAUCUUCGACUUGUGGUGCUCAAAGCACCAAAAAUGUACUUUUGAAAACUCAACAGUAAUGUCUCUUUCCAGAAAUUAUUACCUGGUUACUCAAGAUAAUCCACAGAGCUUGUUGUGAGCAGUUUGAUGUAUGAACUAUUUCUUUUUAACGUACUAUACCUGCCAACCGUAUCACUGCGCAGACCACACAUUCUCACUCCCAACAACAUCUAACUAUGACGCUCUGGGUACCAGUUUAACAUCCUUUUUGGACACUCCGAUACUCAUCAUGCAUUGUGUCUUUUCAGAAUAAACCUCCAUUUUACAAAUAAAUUCUGUCUCUUUUUUUAUUUUCAUUUAACCCCUUAUUUUAACCAGUUAAGUUUCGUUGAGAUCAGCAGCCUCUUUUACAAGGGAGCUCUGGCCAAGACAGCAGCACACAAAAAAGUUACAGCCAAACAACCACACAAUAAAAAACACAAAAGAUACACAUUAUCAUGCAGAAAUGUUAGAACACAUAUGCACAAUGACAAACUCUUUUAAAGUAAACUCAAAAUGUAGGUGAAAAACUUUGUUUUUGGUUUAUUUCCUUAGGUAUUGGGCAACAAAAACACAUGGGUAGGCCUAGAAAAAAACAAAAACAAAUGUUUUUCUUAAAAUAAGAAUGUUUGUCACUAAUCUAAUAUAAUGUGACAUGCUACACAUACUAGCCCACUACGUUGUUUUUAAAAUAACUAUUGACAUUUGGAUUCACAUGGGACACAAACAGAGGUCUCCUGAGUAGAAGUUCAGAGUUAGUUUGACCCAUCCAUGCCCCCUCCCUCCUGCCCUAUGUGGACUUUUGCCCUCUUUAUACGAUGGCAGUUGCCUUGGUGGGUCACUUUCUGAUGCCACUGACCAAGUGUCUGUAUUUGACAGGUUGGGAGUGAGACUGGGUUGGCAAAAGGAAGUGUGCAUCUACUCAUAAAUGAGAGGCUUGUGCUCAUGACAGUGCAAGAUGUAAACAUUAACAGCAUCCUCCUUGGCUGAGCUGUAAUGCUACCUAUUUCAGUGGUUCUAGGUGAGCUAGCAGUAGAUGCACGCUUCCUUCUGAUCUGUGAUACACUUGGGUGUUGUAGCUUAAUAGACAGAAAAUAGUUCCUCCAUAAAACUGCUCACAAUAAGGUCUGUGGAUUAUCUUGAGUAACCAGGUCAUGAUUUCUGCAAAGAGACAUUGCUGUUGAGUUUGUAUUUUUUGCCAUCUAGUUCCAUUAUUUUGGAGAUAAGGCAGACAUCUUUACGGCUGAUAUCUCCAACACUUGGCAACUCACACCAAAACAAUCUAGACUGAUAAAUAGCACUACAGGUAAGAGGAAAAGUUUUGGUUUUGGGUGAACUGUCUCUUUAAGUAUCAAAAGUUAAUAGUGUAUUGUUACUAAUGCUUGAACAAGUGAGCAGCAUUCUAUUGUUGUAACAAGUAUAUGUAGCAACUUUAUAUACUUUAAGGUAGUUUAAUUUCUGAUGACCUCUUAUGGCAUUUUAUGGCAGAAUAGCAAACUGUUGCAAUCGACGCAGUUCUGAACAUAAACUCUUGGCAGAAGCAACAAAACCAUUUUUAAAUCAAUACUUUGUGACAAAUUAUAGAUUUCUUUAGCCACACAAAAAUGUACCAUGAUUGGAUAAAUUAAAUAAACCCUGAAAAGCUAAUGCAGGACCCCGACACAAAGGUUUAUAAUAUAUAUCCCAACUGGUCCAGCCACGGGGUCCAGAUUUCUCCUUAGUCAUUAUUUCAAGGUCCACACAGUUUAAUACAUUCGGCAUCAUACUUGUGUUUGGCCAUGUCAUCGAACUAGUUUGCUGUCUCUGUCAAGUAGCUGUCUGUUAGUCGCUCAUUCUACAGCAGGAAAUGGCACUGUCAAAAAUUCACUGUACUUAAAAAUAAAAUGUGUUUUUUACAAAGUCGA
This is a long non-coding RNA of Epinephelus moara (kelp grouper), 3200 nucleotides long. RefSeq lists it as uncharacterized. The transcript is spliced from 2 exons. Lineage: Eukaryota; Metazoa; Chordata; Actinopteri; Perciformes; Serranidae. The record is from RefSeq and is a predicted model, not a curated record.